RNAcentral lists this ribosomal RNA (482 nucleotides) under uncultured Saprospiraceae bacterium. Its description in RNAcentral is "bacterial SSU rRNA". It matches the Rfam family "Bacterial small subunit ribosomal RNA", at positions 28 to 505 of the family's 1533-position model. Lineage: Bacteria; Pseudomonadati; Bacteroidota; Saprospiria; Saprospirales; Saprospiraceae. The record is from RNAcentral.
GAUGAACGCUAGCGGCAGGCUUAAUACAUGCAAGUCGAACGGUAACAGCAGAGUUUACUUUGGCUGACGAGUGGCGCACGGGUGAGUAACGCGUACACAAUCUACCUCUAAGAGGGGCAUAGUCUAUGGAAACGUAGAAUAAUACCGCAUGGUAUCCUAGAAUCGCAUGGUUUAGGGAUUAAAACUUCGGUGCUUAGAGAUGAGUGUGCGUCCUAUUAGCUAGAUGGUAAGGUAACGGCUUACCAUGGCGAUGAUAGGUAGGGGGCGUGAGAGCGUGGACCCCCACACGGGUACUGAGACACGGACCCGACUCCUACGGGAGGCAGCAGUAAGGAAUAUUGGACAAUGGGCGAAAGCCUGAUCCAGCCAUGCCGCGUGAAGGAAGACUGUCCUAUGGAUUGUAAACUUCUUUUAUAAGGGAAGAAACGCCUGGAUUUAUCCGGGCCUGACGGUACCUUAUGAAUAAGCACCGGCUAACUCCG